Molecule: ribosomal RNA, 207 nt
Filed under: uncultured bacterium
Lineage: Bacteria
Description: partial 16S ribosomal RNA
Rfam family: Bacterial small subunit ribosomal RNA
Source: RNAcentral
AGCGCAGGUGGUCUGUUAAGUCUGAUGUGAAAGCCCACGGCUCAACCGUGGAACUGCAUUGGAAACUGGCAGACUUGAGUGCAGAAGAGGAAAGUGGAAUUCCAUGUGUAGCGGUGAAAUGCGUAGAUAUAUGGAGGAACACCAGUGGCGAAGGCGACUUUCUGGUCUGUAACUGACACUGAGGCUCGAAAGGCGUGGGAGCAAACA